UAGCUUAAAGUAAAUUUACGUAGAAUUUUGAUUUCUAAUUUAAUGGAGACAUUUAAGCUAA
This 61-nucleotide transfer RNA is filed under the name Liphistius erawan. RNAcentral's name for it is "tRNA-Gln". The record is from RNAcentral. Lineage: Eukaryota; Metazoa; Arthropoda; Arachnida; Araneae; Liphistiidae.